GAAUCGGGGGGGGCGACUGUUUACUAAAAACAUAGGUCUCUGCUAAGUCGUAAGACGAUGUAUAGGGACUGACGCCUGCCCGGUGCUGGAAGGUUAAGAGGUGGGGUUAGACUUCGGUCGAAGCUCUGAAUUGAAGCCCCAGUAAACGGCGGCCGUAACUAUAACGGUCCUAAGGUAGCGAAAUUCCUUGUCGGGUAAGUUCCGACCUGCACGAAUGGCGUAACGAUCUCCCCACUGUCUCAACCAGAGACUCAGUGAAAUUGAAUUCCCAGUGAAAAUGCUGGGUACCCGCGGAAGGACGGAAAGACCCUGUGCACCUUUACUGCAGCUUGACAUUGGUAUUUGAUUAAUAAUGUGUAGGAUAGCUGGGAGACUUUGAAGCAUGCUCGCUAGAGUGUGUGGAGUCAACCUUGAAAUACCAGCCUUUAUUACUUAGGUAUCUAAUCCAACGCCGUCAUCCGGCUUGGAAACAGUGUCUGGUGGGUAGUUUGACUGGGGCGGUCGCCUCCCAAAGAGUAACGGAGGCUUGCAAAGGUUACCUCAGGCUGAUUGGAAACCAGCCGUUGAGUGCAAAGGCAUAAGGGAGCUUGACUGUAAGACAGACAUCUCGAGCAGGAACGAAAGUUGGUCUUAGUGAUCCGGUGGUUCCGCAUGGAAGGGCCAUCGCUCAUAGGAUAAAAGGUACGCCGGGGAUAACAGGCUGAUCGCGUCCAAGAGUUCACAUCGACGACGCGGUUUGGCACCUCGAUGUCGGCUCAUCACAUCCUGGGGCUGAAGCAGGUCCCAAGGGUUCGGCUGUUCGCCGUUUAAAGUGGUACGCGAGCUGGGUUUAAAACGUCGUGAGACAGUUUGGUCCCUAUCCUCCGUGGGCGUUGGAGAAUUGAAGAAGGUCUGCCCCUAGUACGAGAGGACCGGGGUGGACGAACCUAUGGUGUUCCUGUUGUCACGCCAGUGGCAUUGCAGGGUAGCUAAGUUCGGUACGGAUAACCGCUGAAAGCAUCUAAGCGGGAAGCCAGCUUCAAGAUAAGUUCUCCCUAGACGUUUAACGUCUCUAAAGAUCCCUUGAAGACCACAAGGUUGAUAGGCUGGAGGUGUAAGCAAUGCGAGUUGUUCAGCUGACCAGUACUAAUAGAUCGUGCGGCUUAUUUUA
RNAcentral lists this ribosomal RNA (1150 nucleotides) under marine sediment metagenome. Its description in RNAcentral is "bacterial LSU rRNA". It matches the Rfam family "Bacterial large subunit ribosomal RNA", at positions 1783 to 2925 of the family's 2925-position model. The record is from RNAcentral.